Molecule: transfer RNA, 73 nt
Filed under: Ovis aries (sheep)
Lineage: Eukaryota; Metazoa; Chordata; Mammalia; Artiodactyla; Bovidae
Rfam family: tRNA
About the family: Transfer RNA (tRNA) molecules are approximately 80 nucleotides in length. Their secondary structure includes four short double-helical elements and three loops (D, anti-codon, and T loops). Further hydrogen bonds mediate the characteristic L-shaped molecular structure. tRNAs have two regions of fundamental functional importance: the anti-codon, which is responsible for specific mRNA codon recognition, and the 3' end, to which the tRNAs corresponding amino acid is attached (by aminoacyl-tRNA synthetases). tRNAs cope with the degeneracy of the genetic code in two manners: having more than one tRNA (with a specific anti-codon) for a particular amino acid; and 'wobble' base-pairing, i.e. permitting non-standard base-pairing at the 3rd anti-codon position.
Source: Rfam by way of RNAcentral
UCCCUGGUGGUCUAGUGGUUAAGACUCUGUGCUUCCAAUGUAGGGGACAUGAGUUUGAUUCCUGACUGGGGAA